Chiroxiphia lanceolata (lance-tailed manakin) is the source of this 3771-nucleotide long non-coding RNA. RefSeq lists it as uncharacterized. The record is from RefSeq and is a predicted model, not a curated record. The transcript is spliced from 3 exons. Lineage: Eukaryota; Metazoa; Chordata; Aves; Passeriformes; Pipridae.
UCAUGUUACAUCUCCUCAAUCCAGGGAACAUCAAUGUAUACCAAAAGUUGUGGCAUGUUCUCUCAGCUUCCCACUUAAUUUCAAAUAAAAAAGAAGGUUACAAUGGUUGGUGCUUAGUUGGCUUGAUUAGAGUCUGUGGGAUCUGUGGUUUGCUGCAGUUUGUAGUUUACAGUCUUCUUCAGGGGAGCUGAGUAACAGGCAGCCUGCAUUUGAGCCAGCUGCAGCUUUCUGCUUUUAAUCACAGCUAAUGGACAGUUAACUGCAGAGACUUAACAAUGGAAGUAGCCAAUGCUGAGGAAAGGGACUAUAAAAGCAAACAAAUAAAGAACAUUCAGAAAAAAAAAUGUUUUUAUAGGGUGAGAUGAAGGAAGUACAAUUUUCUCUUUACAUUUACGGAAAUUCGAUCUGAAUUGAUCUCUUACUCACAGAACUAAUUUAUACACCACAUGUCUUUAAAAGGUCAGGCAAAAUCGUCUUGCACAAACUUGAUAGUUCGCAUAAGUUACUGUAUAUUUUCAUGCCUGCACAGAUUGUUGUUGACUCAAUAUGACACAUCCAAAAAAACCUCCGCCGUCUAUUAAAAGCAGGCAUGGGACAGAGAAAUACAGUUUCUUUAAUGCAUAAAAUCUGACUAAAAAUAGAACAGGCAUGAAAAGGACUUGAUGCAGAAGCUGUGGGAUAUUUCCUAAUCUUGAACAGGUACCCAAUGGAAAUUACCUACUGAUGAAGUGCUGCCAGACAGAAGAAAAUAUCUGAGGAUUAGCAUUGCAGCUGGAGGACUGGUGAAAGAGUGAUAUGAAAAUAGAGGGCAAGAGAAGGGAGAGGAGACUGUGCAGGCAUUUGAAAUUCACAGACACUUAUUAAAUGAGAUGACAUAGAGGAGAGAUGCACCCAUGAGUUGUAUGACCCAAAAAACCAUGUGCCAACACGUCAAAAUCAAGGAAGGGAUCACUAGUAGAGGAGGAGCUGAGCUGAAGAACAGGUGUAAAUCACUGAAAAGAAUGGGCAAAGAACAGACAGAAAUAGAAGACUUAUUUUCUGGAAAAAACAGAAAAAGGGGGGGGGGCAAUGGAGGUAGCUAGGGAACACAGCAGGAGAGAUAACGAUGUAAUAUAGGAGACUGUGAAUUACAGAAGUAUAAACGUAUUGGUUGGGGAGACCUCUGAAAAUCAUCCAGUUCACUUGCAUAGUUGAAGGAAGAUUUUUCAGCGGUUGAUCGGGUCAGCAAUGGCUUUGUCUAGCUGAGUCUUGAAAACCUCCAAUGAUGAAGUCAGUUUCUCUAUCCUGAUGCUGCACCACACUCUUAGCAUAAACAUUUUUUACAGCAUCCAGUUGGAACUUCUGACAGUGCACCAUGGCUCCUUUCCACCUUCACACCACUUUGCUGGACUUUCAAGUUUCUCGACAUCCCUUUUGGGACAGAGGGUGGGUGAAGCAGAACAUCGUAUUCCAGGUGGCAUCUUACAGAGUGACCAAGAAUCUGGAAAGAAGAGGCUGAACAUUAGUACUAACACCACGGAGUGACACGUUGACACGAGCAAAGUUUCCUCUUUAACACACAAGAGUCACAAGAAUAAGCUUGGGGAAAAAAACAACCAUACCCCAAGAGGAAAGAGUUCAUCUUUCCAACAAAAUAAUCAAGAAAAGAAUCAAGACAGAAGAAAAAAUAAUCUACAAACUAAGAUGGAAGCUGAGAAGACAUCUCAGCAGGAGAAAACGAGCAGCAAACACAAAAUCAUGUAAUGGAUGGAUCAGCAAGUGGUAGGCCAGAAAAAGGACUGCCCAAUAGGCUUGACACAAGGACUCAUUGACCCACCAUCGUUGCAAGGCCAAUCCUUAUCAUUCAGUGGAUCUUCAAGAUCUUUGACUCUUGGAGAGGUCAUGAAAACGGGAAAAGGUUCCUGAGGAUUGGCAGAAAGAAAAUAUUACUCUUGUCUUCAAGAAAGUCAAGUUACAGGAUCGAAGGAGCUACAGAUAAGCCAGUCUCACUUUGAUCCCUGGGAAAGUGAUGGAGCAAAUGAUCCUGGAGAGCAUUUCCAAACAUAAGAAGGACAAGAAUGUUACUGGGAGUAUUCAGCAGAGAUUAAUGGGGGGGAAAUCAUACUUAAAUGACUGGAGAGCCUUCCACAAUUAAAUAACUGGCUUGUUGGAUGGAGGGGAGCAGUAGAUACAGUUUGUCUUGACUUUAGUCAGUCUCUUGAUGUUUUCUCCUGUAACUUCCUGGUAGACCAGCUAAUGAAGUAUGGGCCAGCUAAGUGGGACAGUGAGGUGGGUUGAAAACAAGCUGAACCAAUGUUCAUCAAAAUGGUUUUGAUCUGUGGAAAAAAGUCCAUCUGAAGACUAAUCAUUAGUGUGUGAUGUACCCCGGGGUUCAUUACUGGAGCCAAUACUGUUCGUUAAUGUUCUUCAUUAAUGACCUCCAUGAUUGAACCGUGUGCACAUUCGGCAGGUUGGCAGACAAUACCAAGCUGAGGGGCAUGGCUAAAACACCAGGGGACCAGGCUGGAGAACUGGCCAACAGUAGCAUAAUGAAGUUCAAAAAAGGGAAUGCAAAGUCCUAAGCUGGGGGAAGAAUAACCCAUGCACUAGUACAAAGUGCUCCUACAGCAAAGACCAGCAGCAUCCUGGUGUGCUGAUUGUUCCCCUUUGCUGAGCAACAGGGAGAAUACACCUGGAGUGCUGUGUCCACUCCCAGGUUCCCCAGUACAGAGAGACAUGAACAUGCAGGAGCGAGUGCAGUGAAGGUCUACCAAAAUGAUUGAGAAAUGCAGCGAAGGUCUACAAAAAUGAUUAAGGAAUUGGAGUGUCCAGCACAGAAAGAGAGUCUGAGAGAGCUGGUACUGUUUAGCCUGGAGAAGAGAAGGCUCAGGGGAUCGUAUCAAUGUGUAUAAAUACCUGAUGAAUAGGAGUAAAGAAUAUGGAGCCAGAGUCUUCUCAGUGGUGCCUAGUGAAAGGACAAGAGGCAAUAGGACAAGAUGAUUUAAAGGAAACUCUCCUUGAAUAUAAGAAAAUCUUUUUUACUGUGAGAGUAGUGGAACCUUGAAAGAGAUUUCCCAGAGAGAUUGUAGAGUUGUCAUGUUUUAAACUGAUAUCCUAACUAGAAAAAUAAACCAAAACACUUAAAGUGAAGAACUAAUGAGUAAUAGUGUAGAUGGAGGCAUAGAAGUUGCUUAAGAGAAAUAGUCUGGAACACACUAUAAGCUUGAAAAGGAGUAUGAAGAUACCAAAUAACUUGUAGCCCUAAUUACACAGUUUAGAAAGGUUUUUUUAUGAACAUAAACUUACUAAGACAGAUUUAAGCACAGGAUUAAUUGUAUUCUCCUACUAAAAGAUUCUGACGUUGUAUAAUUACAUGUAUCCUGUUCUGUGAAAUGCAACUCAUUUUAUGUAUGAUAGUUUUGUAUGCCUGUUUAGAAUCCUAGGAAAAUAAAUAGCUAUGACAUGUGAAGCCCACAAGAAACAUGAAAGGGGAAUAUAUAAAAUGGAGGUUUAUGGAAAAUUUGAUGUAAUUGUAAAGUCAAAAUAUGUUAAAACACGAGAUAUCUUCUUGCUGAGUUAAUGUUCAGCCCAUUGAAUAAGCAAUUCUUAAAUGCUCUUCACUCUAAGGUUCAUAACAAAUACAGUUGAGGACUCUUAUUUUGUAAAAGAGAUAUAAACAGUAGGUGAAUCAAGUGUAAUUGCUAUUGGCAUGUUUGAUGCAAUUACAGGGGAAAACAUGAUUAAUAGCAAUGAAAUUUAUGGUUGAUUAAAAAUAAAAUAUAAUGCCUAGAG